AAACAACCCAGACCGCCAGCUAAGGUCCCAAAGUCAUGGUUAAGUGGGAAACGAUGUGGGAAGGCCCAGACAGCCAGGAUGUUGGCUUAGAAGCAGCCAUCAUUUAAAGAAAGCGUAAUAGCUCACUGGUCGAGUCGGCCUGCGCGGAAGAUGUAACGGGGCUAAACCAUGCACCGAAGCUGCGGCAGCGACACUAUGUGUUGUUGGGUAGGGGAGCGUUCUGUAAGCCUGUGAAGGUGGCCUGUGAGGGUUGCUGGAGGUAUCAGAAGUGCGAAUGCUGACAUAAGUAACGAUAAAGCGGGUGAAAAGCCCGCUCGCCGGAAGACCAAGGGUUCCUGUCCAACGUUAAUCGGGGCAGGGUGAGUCGACCCCUAAGGCGAGGCCGAAAGGCGUAGUCGAUGGGAAACAGGUUAAUAUUCCUGUACUUGGUGUUACUGCGAAGGGGGGACGGAGAAGGCUAUGUUGGCCGGGCGACGGUUGUCCCGGUUUAAGCGUGUAGGCUGGUUUUCCAGGCAAAUCCGGAAAACCAAGGCUGAGGCGUGAUGACGAGGCACUACGGUGCUGAAGUGACAAAUGCCCUGCUUCCAGGAAAAGCCUCUAAGCAUCAGGUAACAUCAAAUCGUACCCCAAACCGACACAGGUGGUCAGGUAGAGAAUACCAAGGCGCUUGAGAGAACUCGGGUGAAGGAACUAGGCAAAAUGGUGCCGUAACUUCGGGAGAAGGCACGCUGAUAUGUAGGUGAAGCGACUUGCUCGUGGAGCUGAAAUCAGUCGAAGAUACCAGCUGGCUGCAACUGUUUAUUAAAAACACAGCACUGUGCAAACACGAAAGUGGACGUAUACGGUGUGACGCCUGCCCGGUGCCGGAAGGUUAAUUGAUGGGGUUAGCGGUAACGCGAAGCUCUUGAUCGAAGCCCCGGUAAACGGCGGCCGUAACUAUAACGGUCCUAAGGUAGCGAAAUUCCUUGUCGGGUAAGUUCCGACCUGCACGAAUGGCGUAAUGAUGGCCAGGCUGUCUCCACCCGAGACUCAGUGAAAUUGAACUCGCUGUGAAGAUGCAGUGUACCCGCGGCAAGACGGAAAGACCCCGUGAACCUUUACUAUAGCUUGACACUGAACAUUGAGCCUUGAUGUGUAGGAUAGGUGGGAGGCUUUGAAGUGUGGACGCCAGUCUGCAUGGAGCCGACCUUGAAAUACCACCCUUUAAUGUUUGAUGUUCUAACGUUGGCCCGUAAUCCGGGUUGCGGACAGUGUCUGGUGGGUAGUUUGACUGGGGCGGUCUCCUCCUAAAGAGUAACGGAGGAGCACGAAGGUUGGCUAAUCCUGGUCGGACAUCAGGAGGUUAGUGCAAUGGCAUAAGCCAGCUUGACUGCGAGCGUGACGGCGCGAGCAGGUGCGAAAGCAGGUCAUAGUGAUCCGGUGGUUCUGAAUGGAAGGGCCAUCGCUCAACGGAUAAAAGGUACUCCGGGGAUAACAGGCUGAUACCGCCCAAGAGUUCAUAUCGACGGCGGUGUUUGGCACCUCGAUGUCGGCUCAUCACAUCCUGGGGCUGAAGUAGGUCCCAAGGGUAUGGCUGUUCGCCAUUUAAAGUGGUACGCGAGCUGGGUUUAGAACGUCGUGAGACAGUUCGGUCCCUAUCUGCCGUGGGCGCUGGAGAACUGAGGGGGGCUGCUCCUAGUACGAGAGGACCGGAGUGGACGCAUCACUGGUGUUCGGGUUGUCAUGCCAAUGGCACUGCCCGGUAGCUAAAUGCGGAAGAGAUAAGUGCUGAAAGCAUCUAAGCACGAAACUUGCCCCGAGAUGAGUUCUCCCUGAGACUUAGAGUCUCCUGAAGGAACGUUGAAGACGACGACGUUGAUAGGCCGGGUGUGUAAGCGCAGCGAUGCGUUGAGCUAACCGGUACUAAUGAACCGUGAGGCUUAACCUUACAACGCCGAAG
Molecule: ribosomal RNA, 1939 nt
Filed under: Escherichia coli
Lineage: Bacteria; Pseudomonadati; Pseudomonadota; Gammaproteobacteria; Enterobacterales; Enterobacteriaceae
Description: partial 23S ribosomal RNA
Rfam family: Bacterial large subunit ribosomal RNA
Source: RNAcentral